GACUUCUUUUUUAGAUCUUGCUCCAAGAAGAUAAAUAAUUCAACAUCGAGGUCAUAAUCUUUUUCUUUUAUAAGAACUUUAAGAAAAAAUUGUGCUGUUAUCCCUACGGUAACUUAGUUGAAUCUCAAAUCGAGGAUGGAGAGAAAAAUGAAUAAAAGAUUUAGUUUUUUACCGCCCCAGUUCAACAGGAGUGAAGUUCGAUAGGGUCUUGUCGUCCUUCUUUGUUAUACAAGUCUUUUUACUUGAAAGAAAAGUUAGAAUAUUCCAGAUAAUAAAGAAAUUUAUAUGUCAAACCUUUCAUUCUAGCCUUCAAUUGAAAGGCAAAUGAUUACGCUACCUUAGCACAAUAAAAUUGCGGCUAUUUAAUAAAUCAUUGAGCAGGCCCUACUGAAUACUAGUUCAUUCAGAAAUGUUUUUGAUAAACAGACAAUAAAUAUAUAGGCCGAGUUCAUGAAUCUGGAUGUAGAUCAUAGUUGUAUGGAAAUGCUUUAACAAAAGUUGAUUAGAUAAUUUUUACUAAUAAGAUCAUUGUGAAAAUUUUUAGGAGAGCUUCUUUUAAAAAAAUUUGGGGGGGGAUAAUGAAAAAGUUUUUAAACUAGCUAGACACUGUUAAUCCUUAAGGUUUAGGGGUAAGCGGGGAUAAAUUUGUGAAAAGGAUUGUCCCUUUUUAAAUUUUAGUACUCUUACUUUUAAAGGAAACCAGAUAUCAAUGAAUGCGGGUGGAAUUUCAUCUCUAUGUUCACCUUAAAAAGCUUUAUGAAACAAGCUUGAAGGGAAAAAAUAGAUCAUUUCAAUUUCGGGAGUAUUCGUUAAGAAGAAUAGAUUGAUUUUCCCUGAUACUAAAGGUACAAAUAUUUUCUGUUUGAUAAUUGAAACGUUGUUCCCCUCACGGUUGCAGAACACUAAAAAAGAAACAGAAAGAAAGAAAUAUUUAUUUAAAUAAAUAUUAAAAAUUAAAGGGUGUAGU
This 967-nucleotide ribosomal RNA is filed under the name Aptostichus atomarius. RNAcentral describes it as "partial 16S ribosomal RNA". The record is from RNAcentral. Lineage: Eukaryota; Metazoa; Arthropoda; Arachnida; Araneae; Euctenizidae.